Molecule: ribosomal RNA, 253 nt
Filed under: uncultured bacterium
Lineage: Bacteria
Description: partial 16S ribosomal RNA
Rfam family: Bacterial small subunit ribosomal RNA
Source: RNAcentral
GACAGAGGCCUCAAGCGUUAGGCGGAAUCACUGGGCUUAAAGCGUGUGUAGGCGGACGCCUAAGUGUCUUGUGAAAUCCCCCGGCUCACCCGGGGAACUGCUGGGCAUACUGGGCGUCUUGGGCCAACUAGGGGCAACUGGAACAAGCGGUGGAGCGGUGAAAUGCGUAGAUAUCGAGAGGAACACCUGCGGCGAAGGCGGGUUGCUGGGCUGAUACUGACGCUGAGGCGCGAAAGCCAGGGGAGCGAACGGG